GCCGGGUGUGGUGGCGCACGCCUGUAAUCCCAGCUACUCUGGAGGCUGAGGCAUGAGAAUCGCUUGAACCUAGGAGGCAGAGGUUGCAGUGAGCCAAGAUAGCACCACUGCACUCCAGCCUGGGUGACAGAGUGAGACUGAGUCUCAA
RNAcentral lists this non-coding RNA (148 nucleotides) under Nomascus leucogenys (northern white-cheeked gibbon). Lineage: Eukaryota; Metazoa; Chordata; Mammalia; Primates; Hylobatidae. The record is from Rfam by way of RNAcentral.